ACUCCCGUGCUGAUCAGUAGUGG
RNAcentral lists this non-coding RNA (23 nucleotides) under Cricetulus griseus (Chinese hamster). RNAcentral also lists the same sequence under 1 other name. The record is from RNAcentral. Lineage: Eukaryota; Metazoa; Chordata; Mammalia; Rodentia; Cricetidae.